AUGAGGUCGGGCCGAUGGGGUAGGCCCCGCUCUGCCCGUGUGGGGGUGGUGGGCUGGGGGCGGGCCCCACUCUGGGCGCGGGGGCAUCUUCUGGCGGGCUCCCUACGGACCGUGGGUCCUCGGGCUCUACUCUUUCAGGCCGACCCUCCCGCCGGGGGGAGUGUUUGCCCCUGGUUCUCAUGGGGCGGACAGCGGUGGCCCACUCUGGCCUCGGGUGCUGUCUCUGUGGCUGCUGCAGCUCUGCCUGGGGGGCUCUGUGUGGGCGGACAGCGUUGACCCCCGGUGGCCCACUCUGGCCUCGGGUGCUGUCUCUGUGGCUGCUGCAGCUCUGCCUGGGGGGCUCUGUGUGGGCGGCUUGGGUCGCAACACCUGCCCUCCUGGAACUGAAGGUGUGUGGGCUCCCUGGCUGCUAGGAUUCCUUCCUCUGCUUGCUGGAUGGGCGUAGUGGCGGAGCCCCUCACAUCACCCUGGCUUCCACAAGUGGCAUUGUUCAUGCACCAACGUCUGCCUCACCCUUUGGGUGAAUAAUGAUAAGCUACAGCCUUACUAACCUUGUAGUGGGACACUUUCCAAAUCCAACUGUAAGUAUUAUUGAUACUUAUCACUACCGAUAUGAAUAAUGUGUGAAUAUGGAAUUUGUGGUGUUGUAUGUCAUGACUUUUAUUAAGUAGUAUGGGAUAUGUAUAAUAAUGCACAUAUGUAUGUAUAUUGUAUGUAUAUGUUUGUAUUAGUAUGUGCACAUACCUUAGCACUAUUAUUGGUAUUAGUAUUAAUCUCCAAGGUAAACCACAGUACAAAAAUUGUUUAGUUAUGAAUGUGUUAGCCUAAGGUACAUCCAUGCUUCUUAUUUAUUUAUUUUUUUGCUCCGAUUGUUUACUUAACAGAUUUGCUUGGUUUCAGCAGCUGGUUGCACCCCUUAUCCCCCCCCCCCCCCACCCUCCCGCAUACACACCCUAAAGCAGAAACCUAACCUGUCCACCAACACAGCAACAUCACACACAUUUUGGAUUAGCUAAAUAAACCAUUAAAUAAACCAUAAAUCA
Molecule: long non-coding RNA, 1043 nt
Filed under: Betta splendens (Siamese fighting fish)
Lineage: Eukaryota; Metazoa; Chordata; Actinopteri; Anabantiformes; Osphronemidae
Description: lncRNA (ENSBSLG00000010668.1)
Source: RNAcentral